Pantherophis guttatus is the source of this 292-nucleotide long non-coding RNA. RefSeq lists it as uncharacterized. NCBI's taxonomy places the organism in Eukaryota, Metazoa, Chordata, Lepidosauria, Squamata, Colubridae. The record is from RefSeq and is a predicted model, not a curated record.
UUGCUAUUUGCCUUGUUGUUGGUCACAUUCAUGUGCAAGGACCCAGUUAAGAGCCUGAAAUGUUUCGAGUGUCGGAGAUUUCUUUGUGAUCACAAGAUAAAAUGUACGAAAGAACAAAAGUUCUGUUAUACUGAGAGACCAAAAGACCUAUUUCCAAAAGCAGGAUGUGCUCGAGUUUGCCCGAAUACACCAUACCAAACAAAAUGUUGCAAAUCUGACUAUUGCAACUGACUUUUGCAACCAGCUUUCUUUAGUUAAUCAGCACGCGUUGAUUAAAACAAAUCAUGCCAAA